RNAcentral lists this long non-coding RNA (2745 nucleotides) under Equus asinus (donkey). RNAcentral's name for it is "lncRNA (ENSEASG00005035406.1)". Lineage: Eukaryota; Metazoa; Chordata; Mammalia; Perissodactyla; Equidae. The record is from RNAcentral.
AAGAGCCUCCGCGCACGUCUGAGGCCAACGUCGCGACCGUCAGGAAGAGCUGGGAGGCGGCACCCUGUGUUAUCACAGGGACCAGGAGGACACGGCGGGGGACAGCGCGGCGCGGCCGCUGCUCGGUUGGCUUUCCGACUGUCGCGUGAACAGGACGCUAACUCCCGGACCACGGAGGGGCCCACGCCUCGGCUUCCCGAGUGGGAGAGGCCCGGGAAAGGCGGCGGGGCCGGGAGAGGUCAGGAGCUCCUGGAAAGAUGAGGCCAUGCUGGGGUCAGUGCCUGGAGAGCUGUGGCAGGUGACGCAAACGAGUGACAACCUGGGGAACAUCCUCGCAUAGAAUCACGUGAUUUCCACAUUACGUGUGCAAGAACCAGCCUCGCUUCCAAAAGCUCUGGCUGCACUGGACCACCAUGAGAGCUGAGAAGUAGCCGCCCCCUUGGAGGAGGUUUGUCCUUUCCAGUUGGGCACAGUCUCCACCACUCCCUAUUGUACGUCACCUCACCUGCUUUACUCAGCAGGGGCACCGUCCUCCGUAAGGGAAGCUAGCAGUUAGCUACUGCUGUGUAACAAACAACCACAAAUUGCGGAGUCAGAGAAGACGACAUAAAGGUUCUCGCAUCACAGAGAGUCCUGGGCUCGUGCCUUUCCUAGCAUGGUCCUUGUUACGAUCCUACCAGCUGGCUGGACAAACAGACCAGGCGGAACAGCCACCAGGAAAGUGAGCUGCGUGUGGGAGAGCAGCUGAGCGGUCAGGGAAGGAGAAGUGCUCAUCCUGUGCCCACCUGGGAGGAGGACAGCGCACCCCACCAAACCUGAGGUCAUGAGCCCCACGGAGAACCCAGCCCCUGCAGCAGCACCGGCCGGGCUGGACAGGCACCCUGACAUCAGCACACCAGGGGAAGGGGAUCAGGACGCAGUCACACACAGAGGGACAACUGUGUGAGGACACGGGGAGGAGACGGCCGGCCACAUGCCAAGGAGAGGCCUCAAGAGAACCAGGCUGCCGUCACCCUGAUGUCGGACUUCCCGCCUCCAGGACCAAGAGAAAUAAAGAAGCCAGAAGAGAAAAGCUCCCUGGAGGACGCGUGGGUCUCCCUCUGGGUCCGGCCGCUCCUUCUUCACGUCGUUGCUCCCUGUGGGCAUCUGAGUCUGCAAACUCCGAUUUCAACUUUCAGGGGUUCCACUGCAGCGUCAUCUCGAAAGGACCAGCACAUUUUAUCUUCGCUUACUGGGCUACCUGAUUCUCUGGGUCAACUGAUGCUGGUUUCCCCGCUGGGACCAUCUCUGUACCUGGUGAGACGCAUACAGUUUUGAAAUUCCUGAUCGGGGUUUUCCAACACCCUAUGGGAGGGUCUCUCGACGCUUCUCUCCCACCCCAGCCCAGGAGCACGGUCUCCUCUGCUCUCAUGGUAGAGUCUCAAUUCUCUUUUCAUGUGAGCAAACAACAAGGACGUGGGACUUUUCGCUGUGGCCGGAAAUGUCCCGUCCAGUCCCAGGGCCAUCAGUGCUCCGUCUGGUUGGGCUUCAAGCCACUCUUUCUACAAACUUUUGGAGAAAUUCCUAAUGCUGUAACCGACUGCCGCCUUGUCCUUAAAGGGGCUCAAGGAAAACACAGCCUGAGCAGAAGGAAGAUAAAGCAAGAGAAACCCCAUCUUGGGGACCUUCGGACGAACAUGAUGACUCAGCGGAUGUGAAGACGCGGGCAGAGCCCAGUGAAGUGCCAGGCACAUGGGUCCCGAGGUCUCUGCUCCUCUGGUGAAGUCGACAGCGAUGAUGAUGCGGUGGCAAUGCUGGCCCGCCUCCCACCCAUCGCCACUCUGAUUCGAGUCCCGAGCAGCCAUUCCAGGGUCUUCUCCAGAUUCACGCUCUAAGCCAGCUUCUUGUUGGCCGUUACCACACUAUGUAAUCUCAGAGUCGACGGAAUUGGGACCUGUGACUUUCUGCUCCCCGGGCCUGGCCCUCCCACCCAGGGACCAUUGAGGCGACCCUUUGAAAACAGAAGACAUGAGGUCAUCUAGCUCUGCUCUGAACCUCCAGAGGCUGUCACUCCCUCAGAGAAAAAUGAAGGUUCUUCCCGCGUCUAAUAAAAGCUAGAGCGUGUGGCUCCCUCCUCCCCUUGCUCCAGCCCUCUCCAACAGCCCCGGGCCCCAUGCGGCUCCCCCCACACGCCAGGUGCACAGGAGUGUGCUCAUCCAAGGCCUUCCCACCCGCAGCUCCCUCACCUGCUGCACUUUCCUCUCAAACGCCCUGCUCCCUCACCCCGCAGGUCUCUGCUCCUGGCACCUCCUCAGAGUGGAUGUUCUGACCACACCAAGCCCACCUCUCUCCACCCCUCAGCUGCCUGUGUGUCUUCAGGGUGCCCCCAUCACAGCCACGGGCUGCUGAUCUCUUUGUACUUGUGCUUGGUCCCUAAGGCAGCGACGGGGUCGCACUCUCGGCUGUCUUCCGAACACCUAGAGCCCUUUCGGCUGGCUGGCCGGGAGUGGGUGCUGGAAACAUUUCUUGACAGAGUGAAUUCCUCAGAGUGAAUACAUUUAAAUAGAGAGAGCAGGAUGAUCCUCAGGUAAGUCCUGAGGGCAUGGAAAUACUUACUCUCUGCAGCUGCGGACUCUCUCUGGCUCAGAACAGCCCCUGGUGGGAAUAAUGAUGAAUGCGGAGCUUCAGCUGCUGGGCUCACCGCCCAAUAUAUUUAUUAUAUGAUGUGUUAUAUAGUUGAUAAUAGUGUUUUAAUAUACCUAUAAG